RNAcentral lists this ribosomal RNA (212 nucleotides) under uncultured bacterium. Its description in RNAcentral is "partial 16S ribosomal RNA". It matches the Rfam family "Bacterial small subunit ribosomal RNA", at positions 524 to 736 of the family's 1533-position model. The record is from RNAcentral.
UACGAAGGGGGCUAGCGUUGCUCGGAAUCACUGGGCGUAAAGGGUGCGUAGGCGGCUUGUUAAGUCAGGGGUGAAAUCCUGGAGCUCAACUCCAGAACUGCCUUUGAUACUGGCGAGCUUGAGUCCGGGAGAGGUGAGUGGAACUGCGAGUGUAGAGGUGAAAUUCGUAGAUAUUCGCAAGAACACCAGUGGCGAAGGCGGCCCUCGACAUG